RNAcentral lists this ribosomal RNA (278 nucleotides) under Prymnesium polylepis. Its description in RNAcentral is "partial Bacterial large subunit ribosomal RNA". It matches the Rfam family "Bacterial large subunit ribosomal RNA", at positions 174 to 455 of the family's 2925-position model. Lineage: Eukaryota; Haptophyta; Prymnesiales; Prymnesiaceae. The record is from RNAcentral.
GUGAAGCGAACCCUGGGAACUGAAACAUCUCAGUACCGGGAGGAAGAGAAAUCAACCGAGAUGCCCGGAGUAGCGGCGAGCGAAAGGGGCAGAGCCCAAACCGGGGUCCUUGUGGCCCCGGGGUUGUAGGACCCACGGACGGAGCCAGUCAACGAAUCGAAGUCCCCUGGAACGGGGCGCCACAGACGGUGACAGCCCGGUAGAUGGAGAGCGCUGGCCCAGUGGAGUUCCUGAGUAGCGCCCGACUCGUGGAAUCGGGCGUGAAGCUGGGGGGACCA